GACGAACGCUGGCGGCGUGCCUAAUACAUGCAAGUAGAACGCUGAAGGAGGAGCUUGCUUCUCUGGAUGAGUUGCGAACGGGUGAGUAACGCGUAGGUAACCUGCCUGGUAGCGGGGGAUAACUAUUGGAAACGAUAUCUAAUACCGCAUAAGAGUAGAUGUUGCAUGACAUUUGCUUAAAAGGUGCAAUUGCAUCACUACCAGAUGGACCUGCGUUGUAUUAGCUAGUUGGUGGGGUAACGGCUCACCAAGGCGACGAUACAUAGCCGACCUGAGAGGGUGAUCGGCCACACUGGGACUGAGACACGGCCCAGACUCCUACGGGAGGCAGCAGUAGGGAAUCUUCGGCAAUGGACGGAAGUCUGACCGAGCAACGCCGCGUGAGUGAAGAAGGUUUUCGGAUCGUAAAGCUCUGUUGUAAGAGAAGAACGAGUGUGAGAGUGGAAAGUUCACACUGUGACGGUAUCUUACCAGAAAGGGACGGCUAACUACGUG
Molecule: ribosomal RNA, 495 nt
Filed under: uncultured bacterium
Lineage: Bacteria
Description: partial 16S ribosomal RNA
Rfam family: Bacterial small subunit ribosomal RNA
Source: RNAcentral